Molecule: ribosomal RNA, 509 nt
Filed under: Tetragonula sp. WK-2016
Lineage: Eukaryota; Metazoa; Arthropoda; Insecta; Hymenoptera; Apidae
Description: partial small subunit ribosomal RNA
Rfam family: Bacterial large subunit ribosomal RNA
Source: RNAcentral
AGUCGACCUGCCCAAUGAACUAUAUUAAAUGGCUGCAGUAUAACUGACUGUACAAAGGUAGCAUAAUCAAUUGAUUUUUAAAUGGAAUCUGGAAUGAAAGGAUUAAUGAAAUAUAUACUGUCUCACGUAUACUUCACAAACUUAAAAUUUUAAUCAAAAUGUUAAAAUUAGUUUAUGGGACGAUAAGACCCUAUAGAAUUUUAUAUUAAUUCAUCUUAAUACUUAAUAUAAAAAAUGAAUUAAUAUUUAGUUGGGAGGACUAUUAAAUUUAAAUAACUUUAAUUUUAGAUAACUUUAAUUAGAGAGUAAAAUUAAAUGAUCUCCAAAUUGGAAUUUUUAGAUUAAAUUACCUUAGGGAUAACAGCGUUAUACUUUUUUAUAGGCCAUAUAGAAAAAAGUGAUUGCGACCUCGAUGUUGAAUUAAGAUAAAUUUUGAACGCAGGAGUUCAAUAAUUAAGUCUGUUCGACUUUUAAAAUCUUACAUGAUUUGAGUUCAAAUCGACGUAAGU